GAGUGGACUAGGUCGGGCAGUUAGGCCCUGCUCGCCACCCCCACUAUGGUCUUCAGGGGGGACCGAACCCCUGGUGCGUCCGGACAGACCCGGACGGGCCUCGGGAGCCGACGUGGAAGCCUCGUCCGUCGGGGAUGGCGGUCGUCGGGCGUCGUCCGCAGGGACGGCGUCCCCGACGUUAGUCGGUGGUAAUGGGUCAGGCACGGAAGUGAGCAGCCCACCGCCGGACAGCGAUCGCUCGCCGGGUCGCGGGGUGGAGGAGGCAACCGGGAUCCCCCGUCCGGGAACGCCGGGCCAACCAGCCCGUCCGCAU
This 313-nucleotide signal recognition particle RNA is filed under the name Halorubellus sp. JP-L1. Its description in RNAcentral is "Archaeal signal recognition particle RNA". It matches the Rfam family "Archaeal signal recognition particle RNA". The record is from Rfam by way of RNAcentral. Lineage: Archaea; Methanobacteriati; Methanobacteriota; Halobacteria; Halobacteriales; Halorubellaceae.